RNAcentral lists this ribosomal RNA (244 nucleotides) under uncultured prokaryote. Its description in RNAcentral is "partial 16S ribosomal RNA". It matches the Rfam family "Bacterial small subunit ribosomal RNA", at positions 524 to 766 of the family's 1533-position model. The record is from RNAcentral.
UACGGGGGGAGCAAGCGUUGUUCGGAUUUACUGGGCGUAAAGGGCGCGUAGGCGGUCAGUGCAAGUCAGUUGUGAAAUCUCCGGGCUUAACUCGGAACGGUCAACUGAUACUGCUCGACUAGAGUGCGGAAGGGGCAACUGGAAUUCUUGGUGUAGCGGUGAAAUGCGUAGAUAUCAAGAGGAACACCUGCGGCGAAGGCAGCCCCCUGGGUCAAGAUUGACGCUCAUGCACGAAAGCGUGGGG